This 242-nucleotide unclassified non-coding RNA is filed under the name plant metagenome. Its description in RNAcentral is "partial contains small subunit ribosomal RNA, internal transcribed spacer 1, and 5.8S ribosomal RNA". The record is from RNAcentral.
UCUCCGUUGGUGAACCAGCGGAGGGAUCAUUACCGAGUUCUAGCAACUCCCAACCCUUGCCAACCGUACCCCAGUCUGUUCUCGUUCCUUCUGGCCGGCCGGGCGGCGGGGCCUCCCGCAGGCCCCCCCCCCCCCCGCCAGCGGCGGCCGGCCCUCUGAACCUUCUCAAAAUCAAACACUCAACCCCUCUGAGCCAAAACAAAAAUGAAUCAAAACUUUCAACAACGGAUCUCUUGGUUCUG